GGAAGUCGUUGGAGCAGUGGUUUCUGCCUUUUGGGGUCAGUUUUUUGGGCGCUCUCCCUCAAAUGUCACCCUCAAAAUUAGAAGCAAUCAGCCUAUCGCACAGCCGCACCCAUCUUCUGCCGUCGUCGGGCCUACCGGAGGCGCCGACAGCCAGCCAGCCAGCCAAAUCUGAGGUCCAAGGUCCCACUGUUUGGGGUAGGGCAGUCACCUAAAAUCUUGCAGCGGCGUCAGCGCCAGCACCGAAUUCGCGGCCAAUUCUCCAGGUUACAAGCUGGAAAUGUAUGGAGAUGUAAACAGAUAUAACCAUAACCAAUGCAAUCACAAUGAUCACUAAAGCGCCCUUGGCCAUAGCUCCCUAUCUACACCUGGUGAUUAGUGGUCGAUGCAAAUAGCUGCCUGAGCGUUCUUUUUGUUAAGUAGUUGGUUGCAGGGAUGAGUUGCAAUUCCAACCUAUCACCUGGAGAUGUUGCUGAUAGGCUAAAAGUGUAUCUCUCAGGCACGAGUAAAAGAGGCAGAUGACUACUUCAAUGAUGUCUCAAGACAGUUUGAAAAACAUUCAAAGCUUAUGGUGCUCUUUCAAGUUGCUAUGCCAAGAAGUUGAUGAAGAAAACUGAGGAACUUAUGCAGAGAAUGACAGCAUCUCGUUGUAACACAAAAGUUAUCAUACAUGAAAGUGCUUAACCUCUAAUUUGAGUUGUGAUAGACUAAGAGACUUAGAGAAGUUUAUGGAAGAAAUGGAAACAGAAGGCAUUUUGUUGCAGCAACUUUGAGUACUAUGUCUUGUUGAAAGCAUAUGCUACUGAUUAUUAUACUAAAGCCACAGGAAAACACUUGAAGAAAAUCGAGAUGGAGGCUCUAGUUCAUGCGGGAUACAACAUUUGUUUUUCAUGGCAGCAAAGGAAUGCUUAAGAGCUAGCCUGGUAAAAAAGUCUUCUGAGAUACUAAACAAGGCAGAGACACUCAAGGGGGGAGCAAAGUGUACGGUAUACAUUCAUGAACUUCUCCUUGGUAUGCAUUUGCAUUCGACUAGCAAGAACUAGAAUGAAGUCGUCAACUCUGGCAUUUGUGCAACAAGAGGGGCUAUGUAAGCAACUCAGAGCAUCAAGACAUGAUACGAUUUUCAAUCAGUUUGGAUGACAUUCAAGGAGCUGAAAACAUUUUCCAGGAAGGUGAAUCUGUGAAAACCCACCGCUUAUGACUCGGAUAUUUUUGAGGACAAGUUUAAUGCUUAUGCUAAAAUGAGAUUGCUGGGAGAGGCAGCAGCAGUGGUACGAAGCUGUGGUGAGUGGAAUGAAGGUUCCUGCGGAGGCAUGGGACCAACUAGCAUAUCUAUACUACAAAGAUAAUCAGAUGAAGAAGCCUGUUGAUGCAAUGACGAAGGCCUUUCUAUUGUGAAGGCAUUUGUUGGACAUUAAACCGCAUUAACAUGUAUUGCAUGUUUUGAGUAUUUAAAAGAAAAUGGAGAUGCAGAAGUUUACUGAUACUGAUGGGGAACGAUAUCAUGAUUGCCAAGGAAUUGGGUAGAUUUAAAAUUGUUACCUUAGUCCUAAAAAAGGAAAUAAAAGACUAGCUAUCUGUUAUUGUGUUUGUAUUUUUAUUCUAUCUUGGUUUUCAGACA
Long non-coding RNA from Coffea arabica (coffee), 1618 nucleotides. RefSeq lists it as uncharacterized. The record is from RefSeq and is a predicted model, not a curated record. NCBI's taxonomy places the organism in Eukaryota, Viridiplantae, Streptophyta, Magnoliopsida, Gentianales, Rubiaceae.